AUUGAACGCUGGCGGCAGGCCUAACACAUGCAAGUCGAGCGGAUGAAGGGAGCUUGCUCCUGGAUUCAGCGGCGGACGGGUGAGUAAUGCCUAGGAAUCUGCCUGGCAGUGGGGGAUAACGUCCGGAAACGGGCGCUAAUACCGCAUACGUCCUGAGGGAGAAAGUGGGGGAUCUUCGGACCUCACGCUAUCAGAUGAGCCUAGGUCGGAUUAGCUAGUUGGUGGGGUAAAGGCCUACCAAGGCGACGAUCCGUGACUGGUCUGAGAGGAUGAUCAGUCACACUGGAACUGAGACACGCGCCACACUCCUACGGGAGGCAGCAGUGGGGAAUAUUGGGCAAUAGGCGAAAGCCUGUUCCAGACAUGUCGCGUGUGUGAAGAAGGUCUUCGGAUUGUAAAGCACUUUAUGUUGGGAGGAAGGGCAGUAAGUUUAUACCUUGCUGUUUUGACGUUACCAACAGAAUAAGCGCCGGCUAACUUCGUG
Molecule: ribosomal RNA, 484 nt
Filed under: uncultured bacterium
Lineage: Bacteria
Description: partial 16S ribosomal RNA
Rfam family: Bacterial small subunit ribosomal RNA
Source: RNAcentral